ACUAUGGUAUCAUGCUACAACAUGGAAGCCUAAAAGAAGUUGUCAUACUUUAGAUAUGAAACAUCUGCAUAUGAAACAUAUGUAUAUGAAAGUUCUCAUAAUUUACGAGCAAGCAAUAGAGGUUGAACUUAUUUUUGACAGCUCUAGGAACAUGCUCAUGAACAAUAUUGAAUUUGCAUUUUCAGGCACGUAAAUUUGCACAAGAUAAUCGACAACAAAGACAGACAAUAUGGAUAUACAACAAGAUAACACGGUGCUGAAAAAUUCAGAUGAAGUGGAUGAACAUGUACAGUUGGUUAGAAAUUAAAUUAAUGUAACUCAUGAGGGCGCACUACUUGGACAAAGCUAUGGGGUACAAGAACAGCAACACUACACAAGAAAACUCCAAGAAUUAAGUAAAGAGGAAUUAUUAGACGUUCAGUAUGGAAAGCAAAGUUCUCAAAUGAUUAGUGAGCUUCUAGCACCUCAAGGAGCCGUACAAUCGUACACAGAACUCAUGCAACAGAUGACUGUGGUGAGUCAUCCUCAGAGUGACAACAUGGCAAUCCCUAUAACAAGUUUCACUUCGCUAUUGACAACAAGCAUAAAUGCUUAGCAUCAAAAUCCAAUUACAAGCACCCAACGGGUUGAAGAAGAAGAAGAUGAUGAAGGAGAUGAAGCACAUGACUAUAAUUCUGAAUGCAACAGUGAUGAAAAUGAAACUGAUCCAAACGAAGAUUACCUAGAAUUCAGUAGUGAACAGAAUGAAAGUGAUGCAGAGGAAGAUUACCUGGAACAAAAUACAGUGAGUUGUGGUCAUUUCGGUGGAAAUCAUGAGCGUUCAGAAUUGCAGCUAUUAGAGCAGAGUUGGAACAAUUUUGAUACAGUUGUUGAGCAAGACUUGUUGACCACUCAAAAAUAAGAAUUAGCACAAAGCAAUCGGGGAGAACUGCAAGGACCUGAUCAUGCAGAAACAACAGAUUCAAAUGGCACAAGUAGGAGUGAUGAAUCAGAGUUUGAAA
This is a long non-coding RNA of Aegilops tauschii subsp. strangulata, 1001 nucleotides long. RefSeq lists it as uncharacterized. The record is from RefSeq and is a predicted model, not a curated record. NCBI's taxonomy places the organism in Eukaryota, Viridiplantae, Streptophyta, Magnoliopsida, Poales, Poaceae.